UGGCUUCGUGGCCUAGUGGUUAUGGCAUCCCACUCGUAUCUUCAUGGUGCUAAUGGGGGGUCCCGCGUUCAAAUCGCGGCGGAGCCAU
RNAcentral lists this transfer RNA (88 nucleotides) under Penicillium nalgiovense. Its description in RNAcentral is "tRNA-Thr". It matches the Rfam family "tRNA". Rfam says of the family: Transfer RNA (tRNA) molecules are approximately 80 nucleotides in length. Their secondary structure includes four short double-helical elements and three loops (D, anti-codon, and T loops). The record is from RNAcentral. Lineage: Eukaryota; Fungi; Ascomycota; Eurotiomycetes; Eurotiales; Aspergillaceae.